AGCUUUGCGCAGUGGCAGUAUCGUAGCCAAUGAGGUUUAUCCGAGGCGCGAUUAUUGCUAAUUCAAAAUAAAAUUCAGAGAAAAGGGAGUAUGUUUAAUACACUAAGAAGAGAUUUAUGUAACUCUCAUUACUAGGAGA
Molecule: non-coding RNA, 139 nt
Organism: Canis lupus familiaris (dog)
Lineage: Eukaryota; Metazoa; Chordata; Mammalia; Carnivora; Canidae
Source: Rfam